CCUACGGGAGGCAGCAGUGAGGAAUAUUGGUCAAUGGGCGCGAGCCUGAACCAGCCAAGUCGCGUGAGGGAAGACGGUCCUAUGGAUUGUAAACCUCUUUUGUCGGGGAGCAAACGACGCCACGCGUGGCGUUCCGAGAGUACCCGAAGAAAAAGCAUCGGCUAACUCCGUGCCAGCAGCCGCGGUAAUACGGAGGAUGCGAGCGUUAUCCGGAUUUAUUGGGUUUAAAGGGUGCGCAGGCGGAAGAGCAAGUCAGCGGUAAAAUUGAGAGGCUCAACCUCUUCGAGCCGUUGAAACUGGUGUUCUUGAGUGAGCGAGAAGUAGGCGGAAUGCGUGGUGUAGCGGUGAAAUGCAUAGAUAUCACGCAGAACUCCGAUUGCGAAGGCAGCAUACCGGCGCUCAACUGACGCUCAUGCACGAAAGUGUGGGUAUCGAACAGGAUUAGAUACCCGAGUAGUC
RNAcentral lists this ribosomal RNA (459 nucleotides) under uncultured bacterium. RNAcentral's name for it is "partial 16S ribosomal RNA". It matches the Rfam family "Bacterial small subunit ribosomal RNA", at positions 338 to 795 of the family's 1533-position model. The record is from RNAcentral.